GUAGCAUAAUAAUUUGUGUUUUAAAUAAAUACUGGUAUAAACGGUUACACAUUGUUAAUUUUUCUUUUAUUUAAAAGAUAAACUUAGAGUAAAAGUAAAAAUACUUUUGUUCACUAAAAAGACGAUAAGACCCUAAAAGCUUUAUUUAAUUUCUAACUUAUUUGUAUAUAGCAAAAGUUAUUAAGUUUUAACUGGGGUAGUUAUACUUUUUGUAAGUUAAUAUAUUACUUUAAAGGUUGUUUGACCCUUUUAUAGAGGUUUUUGUUUAAGUUACUUUAGGGAUAACAGCGUUAUAAAACUAAAGAGAUCUUAUCUCCAGUUUUGAUUGCGACCUCGAUGUUGAAUUAGUAAAUCCAGAAGGGGCAGCACCCAAAAAGGAAGGUUUGUUCAACCUUUAAUUUACU
RNAcentral lists this ribosomal RNA (404 nucleotides) under Caprella danilevskii. RNAcentral describes it as "partial large subunit ribosomal RNA". The stretch from base 281 to 404 matches the Rfam family "Archaeal large subunit ribosomal RNA", at positions 2542 to 2666 of the family's 2987-position model. Lineage: Eukaryota; Metazoa; Arthropoda; Malacostraca; Amphipoda; Caprellidae. The record is from RNAcentral.